This 369-nucleotide RNase P RNA is filed under the name Robiginitomaculum sp. RNAcentral's name for it is "RNase P RNA component class A". It matches the Rfam family "Bacterial RNase P class A". From Rfam's summary of the family: Ribonuclease P (RNase P) is a ubiquitous endoribonuclease, found in archaea, bacteria and eukarya as well as chloroplasts and mitochondria. Its best characterised activity is the generation of mature 5'-ends of tRNAs by cleaving the 5'-leader elements of precursor-tRNAs. Cellular RNase Ps are ribonucleoproteins. The record is from RNAcentral. Lineage: Bacteria; Pseudomonadati; Pseudomonadota; Alphaproteobacteria; Maricaulales; Robiginitomaculaceae.
CCAGAUGGCUAGGUGAUCGCGGAAUGAAAAUUUCGAGGAAAGUCCGGGCUCCAUGGAGACAAGGUGCCGGAUAACAUCCGGUGAGAGCGAUCUUAAGGAUAGUGCCACAGAAAGCAAACCGCCAGCUUAGCUUUGGCUAAAAUGGUAAGGGUGAAAGGGUGCGGUAAGAGCGCACCGCUUUGUUGGUAACAACAAAGGCAUGGUAAACCCCACCUGGAGCAAAACCAAAUAGGGAUGACAACUGGCAGGUCUUUGUGCCGUCAUCCGGGUCGGUUGCAUGAGGUGUCUGGCAACAGGCGCCCUAGAUGAAUGAUCGCCUCUCUUGGGCAACCAAGAUGACAGAACCCGGCUUAUCGGCCAUCUGGUAUU